RNAcentral lists this transfer RNA (72 nucleotides) under Ovis aries (sheep). It matches the Rfam family "tRNA". Rfam says of the family: Transfer RNA (tRNA) molecules are approximately 80 nucleotides in length. Their secondary structure includes four short double-helical elements and three loops (D, anti-codon, and T loops). The record is from Rfam by way of RNAcentral. Lineage: Eukaryota; Metazoa; Chordata; Mammalia; Artiodactyla; Bovidae.
UCCCUAGUGGCUUAGAUGGUAAAGCGUCUGUCUGCAAUGCGGGAGACCCAGGUUCAAUCCCUGGGUUGGAAA